Nematostella vectensis (starlet sea anemone) is the source of this 656-nucleotide long non-coding RNA. RefSeq lists it as uncharacterized. Lineage: Eukaryota; Metazoa; Cnidaria; Anthozoa; Actiniaria; Edwardsiidae. The record is from RefSeq and is a predicted model, not a curated record. The transcript is spliced from 2 exons.
CUUUUCUCGUUUAAUCUAAGGGGGCACUUUUCAAGCGCAAAUUAUUAACCUGGCAUGGCACUGUGUUGCGAUCACAGGAGAGCAGAAAGCAAUUGACGCUGUUUGAAGCUUCUGAAUAAUGUAGGUUGCAAUGCCUUAUAAAACGGAUGCUCCUCUAUGUAAUUUACAGUAUUCUGAACAUUGAUUAGAACUGACCUCACAUAGUCAUCACAAGACAUGAAGGGAUUUGUAUCUUUCGCUGUUUGUUUCCUGUUUAUUGCUGGAUUUCUAGGUGAAAGUGUCGCGUUCUCGUCGACAAUAGAUAAUCGCAACACCCCCAAACCAGAUACAGCCGCCACGCGUACGACUUGGAUGAGACGGACUGUGGACGCGGCGAGAGAGGCUUUUUAUCACGCAAAAAGGAUGGCUGCUAUCUACAGACAAGCGUCCCGCGAGCAAGGCCUCGAAGAAGAAUAGUCUAAAGAAAGAACUCAGCUCUUCUCGAAAGGCCAUUGAAAUAACAAUAAAUAAUAGAAAUAACAGUCUUAUAUAGCAUGUCUUUUAACUUUAGAUAAAAUGUACGACUAAAGUUAAAAUAAAACUAAACUUAAACUAAAAUGUACGGUUUAUGACACGAAUCGCAAAAUAUACAGAAUAAUAAAAUACUUGUAAGCCUG